Molecule: long non-coding RNA, 467 nt
Organism: Arachis stenosperma
Lineage: Eukaryota; Viridiplantae; Streptophyta; Magnoliopsida; Fabales; Fabaceae
Exons: 2
Source: RefSeq, a predicted model, not a curated record
GAAAGAGUUGGACUCAUUCUAAAGCAUUCAAGAUUCAAUAACAUCACUCGGCUGCUUCAGGCUGAGCAUGGAAACCGAUGAAGACCUUCCCACAUACGAUCCCCUCUCGUAUGUUUCAAAGAGGGAGCGCUCUCGUGUCAGAUCAGCACAGAAGGCUGUCCACCUCAUCCCUCUUCUCGUUCUUCUCUGCGCCAUCAUCCUCUGGUUCUUCUCUGCUCCUACUCCUUCACCGCAAAAAGCCUGAGGAAGCUGAAGUUGAAUCCUGAAGAUGACAGAGCAGUUGAAGUGCUAUUUCAUUUUGUCAAAUGAUUUUGUGGUUCGCUUUUGAUUAGAUUAAAUGAUGGCUUGGAUGGACUAGUUUAGUUUUAAAAUGUAAACAAAGAAAAUCAUAGAUAUGGUUCUUAGUUCAGAAAUACUCCAAUCUUGAUUGUAUUCUUAUCUAUAAUAUAUGGCUUUUAUUGUGUUGA